This 656-nucleotide ribosomal RNA is filed under the name uncultured fungus. RNAcentral's name for it is "eukaryotic LSU rRNA". It matches the Rfam family "Eukaryotic large subunit ribosomal RNA", at positions 24 to 664 of the family's 3401-position model. The record is from RNAcentral. Lineage: Eukaryota; Fungi.
CCCGCUGAACUUAAGCAUAUCAAUAAGCGGAGGAAAAGAAACUAACAAGGAUUCCCCUAGUAACUGCGAGUGAAGCGGGAAAAGCUCAAAUUUAAAAUCUGGCGGUUUCACCGUCCGAGUUGUAAUUUAGAGAAGCAUUAUCCGCGCCGGACCGUACACAAGUCUCUUGGAAUAGAGCGUCAUAGAGGGUGAGAAUCCCGUCUUUGGUACGGACUCCCGGGGCAUUGUGAUGUGCUCUCGAAGAGUCGAGUUGUUUGGGAAUGCAGCUCAAAAUGGGUGGUAAAUUCCAUCUAAAGCUAAAUAUUGGCGAGAGACCGAUAGCGAACAAGUACCGUGAGGGAAAGAUGAAAAGAACUUUGGAAAGAGAGUUAAACAGUGUGUGAAAUUGUUGAAAGGGAAACGUUUGAAGUCAGUCGUGUUGGCUGGGGAUCAACCUGACUUAUUGUUAGGUGUAUUUCCUGGUUGACGGGCCAACAUCAGUUUUGACUGCCAGAAGAAGGCCAAGGGAAUGUGGCACCUUUGGGUGUGUUAUAGCUUUUGGUCGUAUGUGGUGGUUGGGACUGAGGACAGCAGUGCGCCGCAAUGGCAGGGUUUCGACCACAUUCGCACUGAGGAUGUUGGCAUAAUGGCUUUAAGCGACCCGUCUUGAAACACGG